AACUUUCAACAACGGAUCUCUUGGUUCUCGCAUCGAUGAAGAACGCAGCGAAACGCGAUAGUUAAUGUGAAUUGCAGAAUUCAGUGAAUCAUCGAGUCUUUGAACGCACAUUGCACCUUUUGGUAUUCCGAAAGGUAUGUCUGUUUGAG
Molecule: ribosomal RNA, 149 nt
Filed under: Orbilia luteorubella
Lineage: Eukaryota; Fungi; Ascomycota; Orbiliomycetes; Orbiliales; Orbiliaceae
Description: 5.8S ribosomal RNA
Rfam family: 5.8S ribosomal RNA
About the family: 5.8S ribosomal RNA (5.8S rRNA) is a component of the large subunit of the eukaryotic ribosome. It is transcribed by RNA polymerase I as part of the 45S precursor that also contains 18S and 28S rRNA.
Source: RNAcentral